RNAcentral lists this unclassified non-coding RNA (357 nucleotides) under soil metagenome. RNAcentral describes it as "partial contains 5.8S ribosomal RNA, internal transcribed spacer 2, and large subunit ribosomal RNA". The stretch from base 1 to 120 matches the Rfam family "5.8S ribosomal RNA", at positions 35 to 154 of the family's 154-position model. The record is from RNAcentral.
GAUGAAGAACGCAGCGAAAUGCGAUAAGUAAUGUGAAUUGCAGAAUUCAGUGAAUCAUCGAAUCUUUGAACGCACAUUGCGCCCGUUAGCAUUCUAGCGGGCAUGCCUGUCCGAGCGUCAUUUCAACCCUCAGGGUCCCCGUUCCGGCGGGGAACCUGGUGUUGGGGAUCGGCCCGCCCCGUGCGGCGCCGUCCCCCAAAUUCAGUGGCGGUCUCGCUGCAGCCUCCCCUGCGUAGUAGUUACAACCUCGCAUCGGAGCUCAGCGCGGCCACGCCGUAAAACCCCCGAGUUUCUGAACGUUGACCUCGGAUCAGGUAGGAAUACCCGCUGAACUUAAGCAUAUCAAUAAGCGGAGGA